UUAAUUGUUGCGCAAAUGCUACCAUAAACCUUUGACUUUUGAAUAAAUCAAACUAAGCACAAGGCAACUAAGAUACGUGGUGACCAAGAACUCUUAUAUUGAUGUUCAGUUUAUUAUUGGUGAGGCAGUGAUGUAAAGCGCGUCGUGGUGUUUUUAAAUGGAUGAAUGUUGUGCUAACAGACGGGGGGAAACUCCAGGCCUUGCAGUCCUGAUCCUGUAUGAUGCAGAAGAUGUCAAUCCAACCGCACAUUGAUCUCUGCAGCGUGGUCGGUGGGAGGAGAUGUGGCCGAGCAGUUGAACCAGGCUCUAUCGGUGUCAGGACGCGUUGGUGGAGGAGGAGGGCUGAUGGAGGAGAGCCGACGGAGCCAUGGUGGACGAGAGCCGACGGAGCCAUGGUGGACGAGAGCCGACGGAGCCAUGGUGGACGAGAGCCGACGGAGCCAUGGUGGACGAGAGCCGACGGAGCCAUGGUGGACGAGAGCCGACGGAGCCAUGGUGGACGAGAGCCGACGGAGGAGCCGUGGUGGACGAGAGCCGACGGAGGAGCCGUGGUGGAGGUCCUGCCUUAAGAAUGAUGUCGGGACCCAAUGCCCUUGGCUGAUGGAGGAACUGCAUCUGGAGGACGACCAUGAAUCUACCUGCCAACAGGUGGUACUGGUUUGCACUGGUUUGCAUGAACUGAACAUGGUGGACAUGAGGCAAAUUCCCUGCUUUUUGCUCCAGACCAGGACUCUGUGAUGGAGGGGUGGUGAUGGAGCCGUGCUGAGGACCUGCUGGUGAAGGACGUCCCUCGGUGGGGGGGGCAAGGACAGCCGACCCUGAGGUGAUUAUACCUUACACUGCCACCUCAAUGUGAAGGAGUAGGCUGCUAGACUAGCCACUCCACCAGCCCUACAUCGGUCUCUUCAGCCAUCGUUUUGAUCAGAAUGAUUUUGAGAAAAAAGUCGCUGGGUUAAUGGAGCUGUGAGUGAACAGGAUUUAUUCACUCACAAUUUUGCUCUCCAUUUGAGGCUGCAGCGUCUGAUUUCUCACAUGAGUUCUGAAAGUUGUUAUUCUGUAAAGGGGACGUAUUAUACCACCAGGUGUGAGUGU
This is a long non-coding RNA of Gadus macrocephalus (Pacific cod), 1092 nucleotides long. RefSeq lists it as uncharacterized. The transcript is spliced from 4 exons. Lineage: Eukaryota; Metazoa; Chordata; Actinopteri; Gadiformes; Gadidae. The record is from RefSeq and is a predicted model, not a curated record.